GUAUUAAUGAUGAUUCCCAUUAACAAUUUUAGAAAAUCUGAACAAAAUAAUUUAAUACUCAUUUAUACUAUACUUCGCCUUGAUACUGAGGCCU
Small nucleolar RNA from Arvicola amphibius (Eurasian water vole), 94 nucleotides. RefSeq annotates it as small nucleolar RNA SNORD116. Lineage: Eukaryota; Metazoa; Chordata; Mammalia; Rodentia; Cricetidae. The transcript has a single exon. The record is from RefSeq and is a predicted model, not a curated record.